CUGGCGGCAGGCUUAACACAUGCAAGUCGAGCGCCCCGCAAGGGGAGCGGCAGACGGGUGAGUAACGCGUGGGAAUCUACCCUUUUCUACGGAAUAACGCAGGGAAACUUGUGCUAAUACCGUAUACGCCCUUCGGGGGAAAGAUUUAUCGGGAAAGGAUGAGCCCGCGUUGGAUUAGCUAGUUGGUGGGGUAAAGGCCUACCAAGGCGACGAUCCAUAGCUGGUCUGAGAGGAUGAUCAGCCACAUUGGGACUGAGACACGGCCCAAACUCCUACGGGAGGCAGCAGUGGGGAAUAUUGGACAAUGGGCGCAAGCCUGAUCCAGCCAUGCCGCGUGAGUGAUGAAGGCCCUAGGGUUGUAAAGCUCUUUCACCGGUGAAGAUAAUGACGGUAACCGGAGAAGAAGCCCCGGCUAACUUCGUGCCAGCAGCCGCGGUAAUACGAAGGGGGCUAGCGUUGUUCGGAAUUACUGGGCGUAAAGCGCACGUAGGCGGACAUUUAAGUCAGGGGUGAAAUCCCGGGGCUCAACCCCGGAACUGCCUUUGAUACUGGGUGUCUAGAGUAUGGAAGAGGUGAGUGGAAUUCCGAGUGUACAGGUGAAAUUCGUAGAUAUUCGGANGAACACCAGUGGCGAAGGNGGCUCACUGGUCCAUUACUGACGCUGAU
RNAcentral lists this ribosomal RNA (666 nucleotides) under Ensifer sp. 11WI(+)_OTU16. RNAcentral describes it as "bacterial SSU rRNA". It matches the Rfam family "Bacterial small subunit ribosomal RNA", at positions 36 to 750 of the family's 1533-position model. Lineage: Bacteria; Pseudomonadati; Pseudomonadota; Alphaproteobacteria; Hyphomicrobiales; Rhizobiaceae. The record is from RNAcentral.